AGUGAAUAGAUACCCAGGUAGUCCAUGCCGUAAACGAUGAGUGCUAAGUGUUAGGGGGUUUCCGCCCCUUAGUGCUGCAGCUAACGCAUUAAGCACUCCGCCUGGGGAGUACGACCACAAGGUUGAAACUCAAAGGAAUUGACGGGGGCCCGCACAAGCGGUGGAGCAUGUGGUUUAAUUCGAAGCAACGCGAAGAACCUUACCAGGUCUUAACAUCCCAGUGACCGCUCUAGAGAUAGAGUUUUCCCUUCGGAGACAUUGGUGACAGGUGGUGCAUAGUUGUCGUCAGCUCGUGUCGUGAGAUGUUGGGUUAAGUCCCGCAACGAGCGCAACCCUUGAUCUUAGUUGCCAUCAUUUAGUUGGGCACUCUAAGGUGACUGCCGGUGACAAACCGGAGGAAGGUGGAGAUGACGUCAAAUCAUCAUGCCCCUUAUGACCUGGACUACACACGUGCUACAAUGGACAGUACAAAGAGUCACUAACUCGCAAGAGUACGCUAAUCUCAUAAAACCGUUCUCAGUUCGGAUUGUA
Molecule: ribosomal RNA, 531 nt
Filed under: uncultured bacterium
Lineage: Bacteria
Description: bacterial SSU rRNA
Rfam family: Bacterial small subunit ribosomal RNA
Source: RNAcentral